RNAcentral lists this non-coding RNA (7842 nucleotides) under Cordylochernes scorpioides. Lineage: Eukaryota; Metazoa; Arthropoda; Arachnida; Pseudoscorpiones; Chernetidae. The record is from RNAcentral.
CUUUACUGCAAAGGUUAGAAUACGUGGACGCGAAGAGGUCACAAUUGACAAUCGUUGGGUGGUGCCUUAUUCUCCAUUGCUAUCGAAGAUGUUUUGUGCACAUAUCAAUGUUGAGAACUGUAGUUCUGUUAAGGCAAUAAAAUAUAUUUGCAAAUAUGUCAAUAAGGGCAGUGAUCAAACUAUUAUUAAUUUACGCAGAGAAGGUAGAGGUCCUGACCCUCAAAAUGAGGUGCGAAUGUAUCAGUGUGCCAGAUACAUAAGCAGCAAUGAAGCUGUUUGGCGUCUUCUCAGCUUCCCUUUACACCAACGCCAUCCAGCUGUUAUCCAUUUAGCUGUGCAUCUUGAGAAUGGCGAACGGAUAUAUUUCAAUCAAAACACUCUUGCCGAACACUCUCACUCGAAUGCGUAAUCCACCAAGGACAACCCUGACUGCAUUUUUUUCAUUAUGCCAAACUGAUUCCUUUGCUAGGACCCUGCUCUAUCCAGAUGUUCCCCAAUACUACACUUGGAAUUCUUCUGCCCACGAAUGGAGAAGGCGCGUUCAAGGCAGGCUGGUCGAAGGACGGCCUGGAGUGAAGAGAUCAGACACUAUUGGACGGGUUUACGCUGUGCAUGUCAGUAACUUUGAAUGCUUUUGUUUACGUAUGUUACUACAUAACAUCAAGGAACCAACUUCCUUCGCAUAUUUGAAGAUUGUUAAUGGCAGUCAAUACGAAACAUUUAGAGAAACAUGCGCAGCUCUUGGAUUAUUGGAGAAUGAUAACCAUUGGGUUGUCACAAUGGAUGAGGCCGUUCUUUGUCAGGCUCCUACAAGAGUAAGGCAAUUGUUUGCCAUAUUAAUUUCUACCUGCACAAUUUCGAACCCUCAGCAGUUAUGGAUUACCUAUUGAGAUGAGAUGGCAAGUGAUAUUCUUCAUCGUUAUCAGCUUCUCGAUUCCUCCAUCAGGUAUAAUGAUCUGAUAUAUAAUGAAACAUUGUGUAACAUUGAGAAUCGUGUCGUAUCUAUAUGUGGGAAGAAACUGCAGAAAUUAGGCUUAGGAGCACCCAGGGGAAAUGUGGUUACCAAUUCUGACAUUUUGAGAGAACUUGCGUAUGAUACGGCAGAACUUGAAGACAAUGUUGCAUCCAUGCUGCCCAAACUCUUGCCAGAACAAAGAAGAGUUUUUGAUGCUGUCUUAGCAAAAAUUAAUUUGUCACAACCCAUAAUUAUAUUUUUAGAUGCGCCGUGGGGAACAGUUAAAACAUUUCUUUUGAAUCUUCUAUUAGCAAUGGUUAGGAAGGAACAAAAUAUUGCCAUUGCUGUUGCUUCCUCAGGGAUAGCUGCAACAUUGCUUGCGGGCGGAAGAACUGCACAUUCAGUGCUGAAAUUACCUCUGACUUUUGCAGAGGGCCAGACUGCUGUUUGCAAUAUACGAAAAAAUAGUGAUAAAGCUUCACUCUUACGUAGCUGUAAGUUGCUGGUUUGGGAUGAGUGCACCAUGGCCCAUAAAAUUGCCUUGGAAGCCCUUGAACGGACAUUACAGGAUAUCCGUGAUGAUCCACAACCCAUGGGUGGUUUAGUAGUGCUUUUGGCCGGUGAUUUCCGACAGACUCUUCCAGUAGUCACUAGAGGUACACCUGCUGAUGAGCUGAAUGCCUGUUUAAAGUCUUCUUAUCUUUGGAGCCAUAUUGUGAAAAUGCACCUCACAGUCAACAUGAGAGUUCACCUCCAUAAUGAUACCACUGCUGCACAAUUUGCAGACGAACUCUUAAAGAUAGGAGAAGGUCAACUAGAAACUGAUUCCGAGGGUAAUAUCCAGUUUUCAAAUACUUUUUGCCAAGUGGUGGAAUCUUCAGAAAGUCUGUAUGAAAAAGUUUUCCCUAAUAUAGGUGUAAACUAUUUAUCUGAAGAAUGGUUAUGUGCCCGCACUGUUUUAGCCCCCAAAAAUAGCACUGUGCUAGAAAUAAAUAAUACAAUAUUAAAUUCAAUCCCGGGUGAAAGCAAAAUCUAUAGAUCAAUUGAUACAAUGGUUGAUCCUGAUGAAUCUGUGUCGUGUCCCCCUGAAUUUUUAAAUUCACUAGAAUUGUCUGGCACACCUUCACACAAAAUUGUACUAAAAGUUGGUGUGCCAGUAAUUUUAAUACGAAACCUUGAUCCACCCCGUCUCUGCAAUGGCACUAGAUUAUGCAUCACUCAAAUGGGCACUAAUGUUCUCCAGGCUCGAAUUUUAACUGGCUCUUUUCGAGGGGAAGAGGUCCUUAUUCCUAGAAUACCUAUUAUUCCAAAUGAUCUGCCUUUUAAGUUUAGACGCUUGCAAUUCCCAGUUAUGGUUGCCUUUGCUAUGACAAUUAAUAAAUCUCAGGGUCAAACAUUGCAAGUAGUUGGUGUGCAUCUUGAGUCUCCCUGUUUCUCGCAUGGGCAACUCUAUGUAGCAUGCUCCCGUGUUUCCAGCCCUAAAAAUUUAUUUGUCUUUAGUUCUACUUUUAGGAAGACACGCAAUAUUGUUUAUCAGGGGGCUUUGAUCUAGAUUUUGACAAUUUUUUAAAACACUUCGAGGACGCAGCCUAAGCAGACCUCAUGGUCCACCAGGACGCAGUAAAAACGACACUUUUAUGAAAAAUAAAAUUUAAUAUAUUUAUUUUAGUAAUAUAUGCCAAAUUUAUAAGCCAAUAUAUAUAGGGUUUAAAAUUAUUUUUAAUGCUAUAUAAAAUGAAUUUUGAUAAAGAAAUAAAAAUAAUAAAAAAUUAAAAAUUAUAUUAAAAAAAAACUAAAUUCACUCCAACACAUAGUCAAAUGUUAUAUAUACAAAAAACAUGCUGAAAUUUAGUAAGAACUAUUUAUAAAGGCCAUUUCUAAGAGCCAAUUAGAGCCAAUACUUCUCCUUGGUGUGAAAAGCCUCAAAACAAUCAUUUAUACACAGAGGAACAAGGCAGGUCUUGCACAUAUAAGCAGUGUCCUUCCUUAUUCUUUUUCCAGUGGCACUUUUUCCUUUUUCCGCACAGACUUUGCAUUUUCGUUGGAUAUUUACAUUUGGCUUGUUUUCUUCUUUUAUUCUUGUAAUGAAGUGUCUCUCCAAAAGUCUGGCUUUUGAGCUUGAACUACCAAGUUGUUGAUCUGUGAUCUCAACUCCGGCUUCUUCAACCAGUUUUUCCAUAAUGACAAGAUGGUAGUCUCGGAGUGACAGUUUGGAUGUUGGAUUUAAUUUAUUAUAAAUUAUAUGAGAAUUGACUAUUGUCAGGCCAAAGAUGUGAAAGAAAAGCUUUUUCCACCAUUUCAUAUUUCUCCGCUGAAAAGAGUAGUAAGAGAGGAGCUGGUAACUUCUGUCAACACCAGCCUUGUGCUUGUUGUAGUCCAAUACUGCAGCUGGUUUCAUGGUGAGAGGUUGGUCAGAUUUCCUGGCUUUCUUGGUUACAGGUAUCAUGGCAUGAUCAUGUGCUGUGGAGACCAUGAAAACGUCCCUAGUAUCAUGCCAUUUGAAUGCCAAAAGAGGACCUUUCAUUCUGUAAAUUACCUCUCCUUUUUUCAAUUUUUUGGAAAAUGCAUUUUUUGGCAAGCCUCUUCUAUUUUUUUUAUUGUUCCCACAGCUUGGGUAUUGUUUCUCCAGAGAAAUUGAAAAAGUGUGGUAGAGGAGAACCAUCUGUCAAAGUAUAUAACAUGUCCUCUAUUGAAGUAUGGAGCCGCUAUCCUUUCCACCAGUUUUAAGGUCGAAUUGUAGUCUGCACCUUGACCAGGCUGCUUCCCUGUGUACACUUCUAUGUUGUAGGCAUAUCCUGAACUUGAUUCACAAAGUUCAAAUAUCUUUAUCCCAUAUUUGUGUGGCUUUCCUUUGAUAUAUAUUCUGAACCGUAUUCUUCCUCUAAAAGGACAUAUAGCUUCGUCAAUAGUCAAAGGUUGGCAGGGAUAGUAAUAUGUUUUGAAUUUGUGGACCAGAGGAUCAAGAAAUGUCCUAAUUUUAUAGAGAGGAUCAUGGCCUGGUUGACCAAAAGCCACAUAGGAAGCGUUGUCAUUUAGGUGAAGCAUGGAGAGAAUGGCUUCAAACCGUGGUCUGAUCAUCCCCACAUCUCUGCAGUAAGUUGUCCUAAGUUCACUGCGGGUUGACCAAUAAUCUUUCAAUCUGGUCUUUACAACAACGCUCAUGUGAAUUAUUAUAGCCAUAAAUAUAUUGAGCUCAGACACAGAAACAGCUUUCCACAUUUCUAAAUGACUCCUAGGAUUCAAAGGACCCUUUUUUCUUUCUCUGUCUAUGGUUGCCCUAGCAUAGCGGUUAGUCUCAAGUUUCAGAUUACCAAAAAAAUCCUCAUCAAUAAAUUUUUUGAAUAUCUGGUAAGGAGAGUUGGGUUCUGGAAAUAACUCGGCCCUUGGUCCAGGUUGGGCAGUAAACAGAGGUCUGGGUAUCGUGGAUGUAGUAGUUUCAAUCCAGUCAUCACUUACCAGAGGAGACCUUGUUGUUGCAGGAGCCUCUUCAUCUCUUGGUCCCUCCAAAUAUAUUUCUGUUGAAUCCGAAUCAAUAUCUUCAUCAGAGUUAGCAUGGAGUGUGAAAUCUGGAUCCUCAAAAGAAUCAUCUAAUUCUGAUCCAGAAUCAAAAAGAUGGGGGUCAUACAUCUCCCACUCUGGAGAUGGGCAAGAGGAGAUAACUUUGGAUGUACUGGGCUGAUCAGGAUUCAUUUUUAUCCAAAAAUGUCUAUUGAAAAUAUUAGAAACUUCAAAUAAAAAUAUUAAGCAAAAAAAACGUGACAAGAAGAAGCGCGCAAAGUACAAUUGGCAAAUGACGGCAGAUUAAAAAUAGGUCAGUAGAGGUUGGGAGGGGAGGAAACUCGAGGAAGCGCGCACUCAAAACUCAAUUUAAUUGGUCAGCCAUCCACCCUAUCACGUGGCAAAGUGGUGAACGACCUAGAGGCAUGUUUAAACUUGCAGGGGGGCAAGUGGCCACGGGACGUAGCGCGCGCUAUGAUUUUAUACCGAUUUUUAAGAAAGUAGGACGUUAAUAUACGUCCUGCGGGCACUGUGCCAUUUUCGCGAGGACGUUAAUUGACGCCCUGCGUCCUCGAAGUGUUAAAGAGAUUUCUUCGAAUAAUGAUUUUGGGAAGCUUGACUUUUGUAAAUACAUAAUUUGUAAAUAAUUUGUUAUCAUUAUUGCUCUACUGUAGUUUCAUCAAUAAAGCUUUUUUUACUUUAUUUUAUUUUAAUUUUUUCACAUUUAAUUCAUUUACAUAACUCUAUUCUUGAAUAUAUAUAUUUUUUUAUGGUAUCAACAUUUCUGGUUCAAUUAAGGUUUUUGUUAGCCUGCAACACACCUUAUCAUAGCUCAUUGCAUUUAUCAGGAUAACUUUGCUGUUUUGAUUUUUACACCAUUAGUAUUUUCAUGCCUCUAUAAUAUUAUAUUUGUUUGCAGAAUUUUAUAGACAAUUUGGUUUGGGUUAUGUACAUUAAGAAUUUGUAAAAAUAUAAAGGUCAAAGUUUUACAACAAAAAAAAAUUUUGGAACACCAUUUCUCUCCCAUUUAAUUUAAUGAUGCUUCAUUUAUGAUUUUUAUAAUUGCAUUAUUUUUAUGCAUAUUAUUCUUAAAAAUUUGUGUUAGCAAGACAUGGAAUAUUGUUAAGUUAAUGUAAUAUUAACAGAAACUUUACCAACCCGUGAAGCGUUAGCUCCAGUCUUUUACCGCUGGGGGCAGCACUGUUAGAGCUAAUAAAUGCUUUCGAUUGGUGCUUACUUUUACAUGCUGUUUGUUUUUAGACUAAAUUGAUACACAUCAAGUUAGCAUUUUUUCAUGUUUCAAAAGUUAAGAUUAUAUUUUUAACGUUUCAUAAUACUUUUCAAAUUAAAGCCGGAAAUAAUAUUGCUUUUUCCCAUCCUGCAGGUCUACAUUACAUUGCAACAUGCUAUCAUAACUCUGGCUUUUGGCAUUGAUAUUUAUAUAAUGUGAAAGUACUGUUUGCUACCUUAAGCUCUGGAGAGAUUAUAAUGUGUCUACAGAUCCAUCAUGUGGAAAUCACACCAGAGUGAAAAUGCAUUUAGCUGGUAGCAAUGUAUCACAUUUGUAGACAUGUGGUGCGCUUACAGUAAAAGCAGUCGCUACCUACCCACCAUGGUUAUCAAGGCCUGUACCACGCGUACUAGGGAUAAUUAAAAAAAAAGGAAGCAAGACCGAAUACAAAUAAUUACAUUAUGUGUGGUUUCAAUUACAUUUUGGCUAUCUUAAGACAAAGGUACUGAAUACAUUCAGUAAUUUUGUCUUUAUAUGGCAACAAUGCUGUUACUGAAACAUCACACAUAUAUAUAUAUAUAUAUUUUUUAUUUGGUCUUGCUUUUUUGGUAUUUUUACAAUUGCCCUUGACUAUUAGAAAAUUAUGCAAAUUUCCUUUUUAUUUUAUAUACCAUUUUAAAAAUUAUAUUCUUUUGUUAAAAUAUCCAAUUUCCCACACUUUUCUAAAACUGCAACAAUAACUACAAAAUUCUUCCAAGUCCAGGUAUUUCAAUAUUGCAGAAAUAUAUUACAUUUAUAAAAGUUGCUUAACUAUUUAGAUAUGUAAAUGCCGGAUUAGGUGCCCUUUAAAAUGUUUGCUCUGGCUGUUUCUUCUUGGACAGCCGAGAGUGAAGUGGACAAAGUGAAAUUUUCAGGUUGUGCCGACCAUUUUCCUUUAUUCACACUAAUCAUUAGAUUUUUUUUUUUAUUUUUAAGAAUAAAAGCCCAGUUUGGUUACUUGCACUCACUGGAGGGGUUGGACUUUUUCAAGAAUCAGGAGCCAUUGGGGCAAUUUUUUUUUCAGAACAAAGUGUCUGAAUCUGCAUUCGAUGACCCCGGGUCAUGGUUUUUAAAAAUUAACAGUUUAGACCACUCCUCCAAACAGCACUCUAUUCAUUCGAUGUGUUUGUGAAAUUGAUCCUAUAUUUCAGAUUUUUUUACAAGCAUUUUCGAUAUUGCUGUUUAAAAUUUAUCUCCAUUUUGCUGAAAGAAAAUUCAUUACAUUGAGUUUACAAACAGUUGGGGCCUCUAUUCAUUCAUGAGUAAACCUCGCUCGAACACUACCCAGGCGAAGCCGGGUCCAGUCGGGUAAAACCCGGGCGUUGCCCGGGCCAUUCGGCUAGUAUAUAUAUAUAAUCUAAAAUGCAAAUAUUUUAUUUUUUUAAAAACAUAUAUUUCAUUUUCAUUCAUUGACUGUUGUAUAUUUUUUGACCAUAGAUUUAGAAUAUACCUCUUUAAUUAUUAUUGUUGUAAAUAUGUAUAGUUAACCCUACCUUUUUUUUAAAUCACGAUUAUAGAAUUCAUUCUAUAAAUUCUAUAUUACUGUGAUAAAUAAUUUUAUGUGUAAUUUUACUUCAAGUAAUCCAAAAUAAAAUCUACUUGAAAGGUAAAUAAUUAUCUUUACCUUUUCACGACUGCUCCUCUUUUCAACAACAAAACAAAAAAAAAUCAUAAAAUAUAUAUAUAUGUCGAGUGCUGUCGACUUUACGUGGAAUCCUCUCGACUUUAUGUCGAAUGCUGUCAACUCACUGUCGAAUCCUGUUGAAUGCUUUGGACUCUAUGUCAACUUUCUUCCAUUGAUGUGGUAUUUUGGUUUGCUGUAUUGAGUCGUGGGGUAAGAUGGUGAUUGCGCAGUCGUGAUGGAGGUGAGUGGUAAAGCACACAGAGACGAUUCAAAGGGUAACCCGAAGCAGAACGCAGAGAGAACGCAGCGACCUUGCGGCCGGCGGGCCACCUACUAACGAACUGUCUGCUGCUGCUGUCUGCUAUGUUGCAACACUGAACUGACUAACUCUGAUUGGUUGCGGGCAAGCCCUUUUUAUAUGCUCAAGCGUUACGUCAUCGGACAUCGCGCCGCGGUGUCUGGCGAUUGAUCUCAGGUUUUGGUUUCGGUAGUUUG